This 77-nucleotide transfer RNA is filed under the name Alphaproteobacteria bacterium. Its description in RNAcentral is "tRNA-Arg". It matches the Rfam family "tRNA". Rfam says of the family: Transfer RNA (tRNA) molecules are approximately 80 nucleotides in length. The record is from RNAcentral. Lineage: Bacteria; Pseudomonadati; Pseudomonadota; Alphaproteobacteria.
GCGCCCGUAGCUCAACUGGAUAGAGCAUCAGACUACGGAUCUGGAGGUUGGGAGUUCGAAUCUCUCCGGGCGCGCCA